This 1372-nucleotide ribosomal RNA is filed under the name uncultured bacterium. RNAcentral's name for it is "bacterial SSU rRNA". It matches the Rfam family "Bacterial small subunit ribosomal RNA", at positions 28 to 1381 of the family's 1533-position model. The record is from RNAcentral.
GAUGAACGCUGGCGGCGUGCCUAAUACAUGCAAGUCGAGCGAACGGACGAGAAGCUUGCUUCUCUGAUGUUAGCGGCGGGCGGGUGAGUAACACGUGGAUAACCUACCUAUAAGACUGGGAUAACUUCGGGAAACCGGAGCUAAUACCGGAUGAUGUUUUGAACCGCAUGGUUCAAAAGUGAAAGACGGUCUUGCUGUCACUUAUAGAUGGAUCCGCGCUGCAUUAGCUAGUUGGUAAGGUAACGGCUUACCAAGGCAACGAUGCAUAGCCGACCUGAGAGGGUGAUCGGCCACACUGGAACUGAGACACGGUCCAGACUCCUACGGGAGGCAGCAGUAGGGAAUCUUCCGCAAUGGGCGAAAGCCUGACGGAGCAACGCCGCGUGAGUGAUGAAGGUCUUCGGAUCGUAAAACUCUGUUAUUAGGGAAGAACAUAUGUGUAAGUAACUGUGCACAUCUUGACGGUACCUAAUCAGAAAGCCACGGCUAACUACGUGCCAGCAGCCGCGGUAAUACGUAGGUGGCAAGCGUUAUCCGGAAUUAUUGGGCGUAAAGCGCGCGUAGGCGGUUUUUUAAGUCUGAUGUGAAAGCCCACGGCUCAACCGUGGAGGGUCAUUGGAAACUGGAAAACUUGAGUGCAGAAGAGGAAAGUGGAAUUCCAUGUGUAGCGGUGAAAUGCGCAGAGAUAUGGAGGAACACCAGUGGCGAAGGCGACUUUCUGGUCUGUAACUGACGCUGAUGUGCGAAAGCGUGGGGAUCAAACAGGAUUAGAUACCCUGGUAGUCCACGCCGUAAACGAUGAGUGCUAAGUGUUAGGGGGUUUCCGCCCCUUAGUGCUGCAGCUAACGCAUUAAGCACUCCGCCUGGGGAGUACGACCGCAAGGUUGAAACUCAAAGGAAUUGACGGGGACCCGCACAAGCGGUGGAGCAUGUGGUUUAAUUCGAAGCAACGCGAAGAACCUUACCAAAUCUUGACAUCCUUUGACAACUCUAGAGAUAGAGCCUUCCCCUUCGGGGGACAAAGUGACAGGUGGUGCAUGGUUGUCGCCAGCUCGUGUCGUGAGAUGUUGGGUUAAGUCCCGCAACGAGCGCAACCCUUAAGCUUAGUUGCCAUCAUUAAGUUGGGCACUCUAAGUUGACUGCCGGUGACAAACCGGAGGAAGGUGGGGAUGACGUCAAAUCAUCAUGCCCCUUAUGAUUUGGGCUACACACGUGCUACAAUGGACAAUACAAAGGGCAGCGAAACCGCGAGGUCAAGCAAAUCCCAUAAAGUUGUUCUCAGUUCGGAUUGUAGUCUGCAACUCGACUACAUGAAGCUGGAAUCGCUAGUAAUCGUAGAUCAGCAUGCUACGGUGAAUACGUUCCCGGGUCU